Molecule: ribosomal RNA, 495 nt
Filed under: uncultured bacterium
Lineage: Bacteria
Description: partial 16S ribosomal RNA
Rfam family: Bacterial small subunit ribosomal RNA
Source: RNAcentral
GACGAACGCUGGCGGCGUGCCUAAUACAUGCAAGUAGAACGCAGAGGUGGGAGCUUUCUUCUCUGGAUGUUUUGCGCACGGGUGUGUAUCGCGUAUGUAACCUCUCUGUUUGCGGGUGAUAACUAUUGGGAACGAUAGCUAAUACCCCAUAAUAUUUGUUGUUGCAUAACAUUUACUUGAAAAUGGCAAUUUCGUCGCUACCAGUUGAUCCUGCGUUGUAUUAUGUAGUUGGUGAUGUAACGGCUCAACCAGGCAACGAUACAUAGCCGACCUGGGAGGGUGAUCGGCCACCAUGGGACUGAGACAAGGGUCAAGCUUCUUCGGGAGGCAGCCGUAGGGAAUCUUCGGCAAUGGACGGAAGUCCGACCGAGCAACGCCGCGUGAGUGAAGAAGGUUCUCGGAUCGUAAAGCCCUGUUGUAUGAGAAGAACGAGUGUGAGAGUGGAAAGUGCACGCCGUGACGGUACCUAACCAGAAAGCGACGGCUAACUACGUG